UUUUUAUCUUAUUGUUGUGUUCAUAUUUAUUUGAGUUGUUAUAAUUAAAGAGUAUAAUAGUCAUUUAUGAAAUUAAAGGAGUUUGUGUGAUAAUUUAAACAAACGUGGGGUGUGAGUGACUUUUUUCCGAUAUACAAUAAGUUUAACAAAAGUAUAUGUUAAUUUGGAAGAUAAACAAAAAUAAUUACCUUGGGUGUACGAAAUUCUUCCAGCUCAAAUUCUCAUUUUGCUUUUCGAGGAGCUCUCUUGACCGCAUUGUGUCCAACUACGAUAUCACAACACUUCAUUUGCUAGUCUUUCUGCUCUUCCAUUUUUAAUUUAAUAUUUUAGAGAAAAACUUCUUUGGGAUGACAGUAAUAUGAUCAUUUAAUAAAUACAUGCAUAUGUUUCAAAUGAUUUUUCUCUCUGCCAUGAAUGGUCAACUCUACAUACUAAAUUUUCCUCUUCAAGUUGUUAUAAAGUCAUACAAAUUUCAACCAAUCGUAAUAAUGUUAGUGUACACAUGGCAAGCAAUGAAAUGAUGGUAUUGUUGUCCAUGUAAAUGCUAAAGAUACAAGACUAAAUUGGUCAAAUCCUUGCUCUCAUCUAACUAAUUUCUUUUUCGCACGAUAUACAACAAAUUUUUUUCUUAAAAAUACAGGUAAAAUGAUAGCUAUACUUCCAAGAUUUUAAAAAAUGGUCAUAAAAAUUACUAUUUGCCAGUUUGGGAUUGCGGUUGAACUAAUUUCUUUUUCGCGCAAUAUACAACAAGUUUUUUCUUAAAAAGUAUAGGUAAAAUGAUAGCUAUACUUCCAAGAUUUGAAAAAAUGGUCAUAAAGAUUACUAUGUGUCAAUUUGGGAUUGCGGUUGAAAUUCAAUAAGCUGCUUAUUUCAAAAUUUUUGAUAAAAAUAAUGUUUGGUAAAUUU
Molecule: long non-coding RNA, 906 nt
Filed under: Citrus x clementina
Lineage: Eukaryota; Viridiplantae; Streptophyta; Magnoliopsida; Sapindales; Rutaceae
Description: Citrus clementina (C. clementina) long non-coding RNA (CCLE_LNC002523)
Source: RNAcentral